CCUANGGGUGGCAGCAGUCGAGAAUUUUUCUCAAUGGGGGCAACCCUGAAGGAGCGACGCCGCGUGGAGGAUGAAGGUCUUCGGAUUGUAAACUCCUGUCAUUAGGGAACAAUUGCCGGCAAGUAACUACUGCCGGCUUGAUAGUACCUGAAGAGGAAGAGACGGCUAACUCUGUGCCAGCAGCCGCGGUAAUACAGAGGUCUCAAGCGUUGUUCGGAUUCAUUGGGCGUAAAGGGUGCGUAGGCGGCGCCGUAAGUCUGGUGUGAAAUCCCGGAGCUCAACUCCGGAAUUGCACUGGAUACUGCGGUGCUCGAGGACUGGAGAGGAGACUGGAAUUCACGGUGUAGCAGUGAAAUGCGUAGAUAUCGUGAGGAAGACCAGUGGCGAAGGCGGGUCUCUGGACAGUUCCUGACGCUGAGGCACGAAGGCCAGGGGAGCAAACGGGAUUAGAUACCCCUNUANUC
Molecule: ribosomal RNA, 464 nt
Filed under: uncultured bacterium
Lineage: Bacteria
Description: bacterial SSU rRNA
Rfam family: Bacterial small subunit ribosomal RNA
Source: RNAcentral